AUUUGGGGUCGCCGUCAUCGAAAACGAUGAGGAGGAGGAGGACUAUACUUACUAACGAUGACACGGCACCGCCGCGUAAAACAAACCUAUGCCGAAAAUCAUAGUUUCAAGUAUUUUGAAUGCUGUAGUUAGAAGACUGCCAGACAAAUGUGGAUUAAUAAGGUUGUGGAGAUAAAAAAAAAUACAUCCACACUACAGCAUCCGAAAUCUCAAAAUCAUUUGCUUCUAUAUCGAAGAGCUCUCUGGAUUUUUUUGAUGACUUUCCGGUCACUUAUCUUGACAUAAAUGCUGAAGGAAUUAAUUAUGUCACUUUAAAAGGAGACGAAGAGCGGGACGGUAUUAUAAAAC
This is a long non-coding RNA of Cydia fagiglandana, 348 nucleotides long. RefSeq lists it as uncharacterized. The transcript is spliced from 3 exons. The record is from RefSeq and is a predicted model, not a curated record. NCBI's taxonomy places the organism in Eukaryota, Metazoa, Arthropoda, Insecta, Lepidoptera, Tortricidae.